UAUGUCCUGGGGGUGAAACUGCAUAAUUGAGAAGGAGUCAAUGCCAGUUGUGGUUAAUUGUGACUUACAAAAUGGAGUCUUGAGAAUAUCUAUGCAACUUUACCAAUGACAUGUUUGUACAAAGCAGGGAAUUAAGACACACUUCCUCAGAGAGUAUUUGCUUUUGUAUUUUGUACCUAUUUGCAUAAUCCCAUUUAAACUAUUAAUAGAAUUUGUCAAACUAAAAGUAUAUGUACAGCUUAGAUAUGCUGCAGAGAAUUCAAGUUCAGACUAUGACUUUUUUCCUGUCAAAAACUGCAAACUACCAUUUACUUGUUGUUUCAAGACAGCUGUUUCCAUGGGCUUGAAGUUUAAUUAAUUAAGAGUGACCUAUGAGCUGUGAUUUUGUUUCUUAAGCAGUUUCAUAAGUGACCUUACUUAUCCCAUAGUGACCACAUUGUAAUUUUUGCAUUAAAAAAUCAAACAACAAAACAUUUUAAUUGAUUUUCUAGGGCUACCAUAACAAAGUAUCAUAGACUAGGUGGUUUAAACAACAUAAUUUUUUUUUUUAUCUUAGGGUUCUGGAGCUUGGAAGUCCAAAAUCAAGGUUUGACAGGUUGUUUCUUUCUGAGGACUAUGAGAGAAGAAGUUGUUCCAGGACGUGAGACUUCAAAAACUGCUGAAAAUGAGCUUUCCUAACAAUGAUGGGCCUAUUUGUCUAGGAAUACAUCAUCCUAGCAACGAGAGAUCAGACAAAACCCAAGAUAAGAUACUAAUUUUCUUCUAAAAUGCUUUCUCAGAAAAAUUGUAAAAAGAGGGGAAAAUGUGAAUGGAAAAUGAAAUCUUGGGACCCCAAUUUACUCUGCCAAAAGAAAAGAAAAUUAAGCUGAAAGGCUCUCUCGCCUUUAAACAUUAAAGCCCUCAAAAUCAACUUUGGAAAAAUGCACGGACCUGUCCCACAGGUGAGUGACAUUAACCUUGGCAAAAUAAACUUCUAAAUUGAUGGAGACCUGUCUCAGAUACUUUCAUGUUUACAUCUUCAGUGGGGAUAUUUUAAACACAG
Molecule: long non-coding RNA, 1042 nt
Organism: Pan troglodytes (chimpanzee)
Lineage: Eukaryota; Metazoa; Chordata; Mammalia; Primates; Hominidae
Exons: 3
Source: RefSeq, a predicted model, not a curated record